AUUGAACGCUGGCGGCGUGCUUAACACAUGCAAGUCGUGCGAGAAAGGGGACUUCGGUCCCUGAGUAGAGCGGCGCACGGGUGAGUAACGCGUGGAUUAUCUACCCAGACGUUCGGGAUAACGGCGGGAAACUGCCGCUAAUACCGGAUACGCUCCAAUUUCGGUUGGGGGAAAGGCGGCCUCUGCUUGCAAGCUGUCGCAUCUGGAUGAGUCCGCGUCCCAUUAGCUUGUUGGUGGGGUAAUGGCCUACCAAGGCUACGAUGGGUAGCUGGUCUGAGAGGAUGAUCAGCCACACUGGAACUGAAACACGGUCCAGACUCCUACGGGAGGCAGCAGUGGGGAAUAUUGCGCAAUGGGGGAAACCCUGACGCAGCGACGCCGUGUGAGGGAAGAAGGCUUU
Molecule: ribosomal RNA, 400 nt
Filed under: uncultured bacterium
Lineage: Bacteria
Description: bacterial SSU rRNA
Rfam family: Bacterial small subunit ribosomal RNA
Source: RNAcentral